AGCAGCCGCGGUAAUUCCAGCUCCAAUAGCGUAUAUUAAAGUUGUUGCAGUUAAAAAGCUCGUAGUUGAAUUUCGGGAUCGAAUUGUUAGUCGUGCUUCGGUACGUACUGGCAUUAUUGGUUCCUACCUUCUGAAGAACCGCGAUGUCAUUAAUUUGGUGUCGUGGGGAAUCAGGACUGUUACUUUGAAAAAAUUAGAGUGUUUAAAGCAGGCGCACGCUUGAAUACAUUAGCAUGGAAUAAUGAAAUAGGACGUUUGAUUCUAUUUUGUUGGUUUCUAGGAUCGACGUAAUGAUUAAUAGGGAUAGUUGGGGGCAUUAGUAUUCAAUUGUCAGAGGUGAAAUUCUUGGAUUUAUUGAAGACUAACUACUGCGAAAGCAUUUGCCAAGGAUGUUUUCAUUAAUCAAGAACGAAAGUUAGGGGAUCGAAGACGAUCAGAUACCGUCGUAGUCUUAACCAUAAACUAUGCCGACUAGGGAUCGGAUGAUGUUAAUUUUUUAAUGACUCA
RNAcentral lists this ribosomal RNA (507 nucleotides) under uncultured Glomus. RNAcentral's name for it is "SSU rRNA". It matches the Rfam family "Eukaryotic small subunit ribosomal RNA", at positions 569 to 1078 of the family's 1831-position model. The record is from RNAcentral. Lineage: Eukaryota; Fungi; Glomeromycota; Glomeromycetes; Glomerales; Glomeraceae.